GACGAACGCUGGCGGCGUGCUUAACACAUGCAAGUCGAACGAUGAAGAAAAGAAUUGAAGCUUCGGCAGAAAUUCAUUUCGGAUUAGUGGCAGACGGGUGAGUAACGCGUGAGCAACCUACCUCUUACAAAGGGAUAGCCUCGGGAAACCGGGAUUAAUACCAUAUAACAUUGCGACGAAGCAUUUCGAUGCAAUCAAAGCUACGGCGGUAAGAGAUGGGCUCGCGUCCCAUUAACCAGAUGGUGAGGUAACGGCUCACCAUAGUAACGAUGGGUAACCGGCCUGAGAGGGUGAACGGUCACACUGGAACUGAGACACGGUCCAGACUCCUACGGGAGGCAGCAGUGGGGAAUAUUGCACAAUGGAGGGAACUCUGAUGCAGCGACGCCGCGUGAGUGAUGAAGGAAUUCGUUUCGUAAAGCUCUGUUCUAUGGGAAGAAAAGGACUGUACCAUAGGAGAAAGCUCCGGCUAAAUACGUG
Molecule: ribosomal RNA, 480 nt
Filed under: uncultured bacterium
Lineage: Bacteria
Description: partial 16S ribosomal RNA
Rfam family: Bacterial small subunit ribosomal RNA
Source: RNAcentral